This 454-nucleotide ribosomal RNA is filed under the name uncultured bacterium. RNAcentral describes it as "bacterial SSU rRNA". It matches the Rfam family "Bacterial small subunit ribosomal RNA", at positions 340 to 786 of the family's 1533-position model. The record is from RNAcentral.
UACGGGAGGCAGCAGGGGGAAUAUUGCACAAUGGGCGCAAGCCUGAUGCAGCCAUGCCGCGUGUAUGAAAAAGGCCUUCGGGUUGUAAAGUACUUUCAGUCGUGAGGAAGGUGUUAAGGUUAAUAACCUUAGCAAUUGACGUUAGCGACAGAAGAAGCACCGGCUAACUCCGUGCCAGCAGCCGCGGUAAUACGGAGGGUGCGAGCGUUAAUCGGAAUUACUGGGCGUAAAGGGCACGCAGGCGGUUAAUUAAGUUGGAUGUGAAAUCCCCGGGCUUAACCUGGGAAUGGCAUUCAAGACUGGUUAGCUAGAGUCUUGUAGAGGGGGUAGAAUUCCAUGUGUAGCGGUGAAAUGCGUAGAGAUGUGGAGGAAUACCGGUGGCGAAAGGGCGGCCCCUGGACAAAGACUGACGCUCAUGUGCGAAAGCGUGGGGAGCAAACAGGGAUUAGAUACC